AUUGAACGCUGGCGGCAUGCUUUACACAUGCAAGUCGAACGGUAACAGGUUAAGCUGGCGAGUGGCGAACGGGUGAGUAAUGCAUCGGAACGUGCCCGAUCGUGGGGGAUAACGCAGCGAAAGCUGCGCUAAUACCGCAUACGAUCUGAGGAUGAAAGCGGGGGACCGUAAGGCCUCGCGCGAUCGGAGCGGCCGAUGUCAGAUUAGGUAGUUGGUGGGGUAAAGGCCCACCAAGCCGACGAUCUGUAGCUGGUCUGAGAGGACGACCAGCCACACUGGGACUGAGACACGGCCCAGACUCCUACGGGAGGCAGCAGUGGGGAAUUUUGGACAAUGGGCGAAAGCCUGAUCCAGCAAUGCCGCGUGCAGGAAGAAGGCCUUCGGGUUGUAAACUGCUUUUGUACGGAGCGAAAAGGUCCUUUCUAAUACAGGGGGCUCAUGACGGUACCGUAAGAAUAAGCACCGGCUAACCACGUGCCAGCCGCCGCCGUAA
This 493-nucleotide ribosomal RNA is filed under the name uncultured bacterium. RNAcentral's name for it is "partial 16S ribosomal RNA". It matches the Rfam family "Bacterial small subunit ribosomal RNA", at positions 29 to 523 of the family's 1533-position model. The record is from RNAcentral.